RNAcentral lists this ribosomal RNA (425 nucleotides) under uncultured bacterium. RNAcentral describes it as "partial 16S ribosomal RNA". It matches the Rfam family "Bacterial small subunit ribosomal RNA", at positions 354 to 796 of the family's 1533-position model. The record is from RNAcentral.
GUGGGGAAUCUUGCGCAAUGGGCGAAAGCCUGACGCAGCCAUGCCGCGUGAAUGAUGAAGGUCUUAGGAUUGUAAAAUUCUUUCACCGGGGACGAUAAUGACGGUACCCGGAGAAGAAGCCCCGGCUAACUUCGUGCCAGCAGCCGCGGUAAUACGAAGGGGGCUAGCGUUGCUCGGAAUUACUGGGCGUAAAGGGCGCGUAGGCGGACAGUUUAGUCAGAGGUGAAAGCCCAGGGCUCAACCUUGGAAUUGCCUUUGAUACUGGGUGUCUUGGGUAAGGGGGGGGUGAGUGGAACUCCGAGUGUAGAGGUGAAAUUCGUAGAUAUUCGGAAGAACACCAGUGGCGAAGGCGACUCACUGGCCCGUUACUGACGCUGAGGCGCGAAAGCGUGGGGAGCAAACAGGAUUAGAUACCCGUGUAGUCC